This 434-nucleotide ribosomal RNA is filed under the name uncultured Clostridium sp. RNAcentral describes it as "partial 16S ribosomal RNA". It matches the Rfam family "Bacterial small subunit ribosomal RNA", at positions 341 to 792 of the family's 1533-position model. The record is from RNAcentral. RNAcentral also lists the same sequence under 1 other name. Lineage: Bacteria; Bacillati; Bacillota; Clostridia; Eubacteriales; Clostridiaceae.
ACGGAAGGCAGCAGUGGGGAAUAUUGGACAAUGGGGGAAACCCUGAUCCAGCGACGCCGCGUGAGUGAAGAAGUAUUUCGGUAUGUAAAGCUCUAUCAGCAGGAAAGAAAAUGACGGUACCUGACUAAGAAGCCCCGGCUAACUACGUGCCAGCAGCCGCGGUAAUACGUAGGGGGCAAGCGUUAUCCGGAUUUACUGGGUGUAAAGGGAGCGUAGACGGUUUUGCAAGUCAGAAGUGAAAGCCCGGGGCCCAACCCCGGAACUGCUUUUGAAACUGUAGAACUGGAGUGCAGGAGAGGUAAGUGGAAUUCCUAGUGUAGCGGUGAAAUGCGUAGAUAUUAGGAGGAACACCAGUGGCGAAGGCGGCUUACUGGACUGUAACUGACGUUGAGGCUCGAAGGCGUGGGGAGCAAACAGGAUUAGAUACCCUGGUA